Molecule: ribosomal RNA, 461 nt
Filed under: uncultured bacterium
Lineage: Bacteria
Description: partial 16S ribosomal RNA
Rfam family: Bacterial small subunit ribosomal RNA
Source: RNAcentral
CCUACGGGGGGCUGCAGUGAGGAAUAUUGGUCAAUGGGCUUACGCCUGAACCAGCCAAGUCGCGUGAGGGAAGACUGCCCUAUGGGUUGUAAACCUCUUUUGUCAGGGAGCAACGCCGGCUACGUGUAGCCGGACUGAGAGUACCUGAAGAAAAAGCAUCGGCUAACUCCGUGCCAGCAGCCGCGGUAAUACGUAGGUGGCAAGCGUUGUCCGGAUUUACUGGGUGUAAAGGGCGUGCAGCCGGAGAGACAAGUCAGAUGUGAAAUCCGCAGGCUCAACCUGCGAACUGCAUUUGAAACUGUUUCCCUUGAGUAUCGGAGAGGUCAUCGGAAUUCCUAGUGUAGCGGUGAAAUGCGUAGAUAUUAGGAAGAACACCAGUGGCGAAGGCGGAUGACUGGACGACAACUGACGGUGAGGCGCGAAAGCGUGGGGAGCAAACAGGAUUAGAUACCCUAGUAGUC